Molecule: long non-coding RNA, 452 nt
Organism: Rosa rugosa (rugosa rose)
Lineage: Eukaryota; Viridiplantae; Streptophyta; Magnoliopsida; Rosales; Rosaceae
Exons: 2
Source: RefSeq, a predicted model, not a curated record
AUUUUAACAAACUGUGUUAUUUGUGGUAGAUAAAACAAGAGCUAGGAGGACAAGUUCGUAUAAUGUUUGUCUGGUGCUGCACCUUUGCCCAGGCAUGUGGAGGAAUUUGUCAGAAGGAUAUGGCCUUACUGAAAGCUGUGGUGGGUGUUUUACGUCCCUUGGCAAUGUUCAUCCUAUGAUUGGAACUGUUGGUGCUCCCCUGACAACUGUUGAAGCGCGGCUUGGGUCAGUCCCAGAACUGGGAUAUGAUGCACCUUCUAGUGUGCCAUGUAGAGAGAUUUUCCUAAGAGGAAAAAACCUUGUUUUCAUUGAACGUGCAAAUAUUAAACUGAAUGAAGAGAAAAGUGCACGGAAGUAGCAAAAAAAUCCAUCACCACUCAUUGAUUUUGGUUUCAUGGUACUUUGCUUAAUUUGAUUACCUUUGCUUGAUUAAAUUUGUCUCAAUUCUGAUA